This 409-nucleotide ribosomal RNA is filed under the name uncultured beta proteobacterium. RNAcentral describes it as "bacterial SSU rRNA". It matches the Rfam family "Bacterial small subunit ribosomal RNA", at positions 9 to 418 of the family's 1533-position model. Lineage: Bacteria; Pseudomonadati; Pseudomonadota; Betaproteobacteria. The record is from RNAcentral.
GAGUUUGAUCUUGGCUCAGAUUGAACGCUGGCGGCAUGCUUUACACAUGCAAGUCGAGCGGCAGCGCGGGGGCAACCCUGGCGGCGAGCGGCGGACGGGUGAGUAAUGCAUCGGAACGUAUCCCGUAGUGGGGGACAACCCAGCGAAAGCUGGGCUAAUACCGCAUAUGCUCUACGGAGGAAAGUGGGGGACCUGCAAGGGCCUCACGCUAUGGGAGCGGCCGAUGUCCGAUUAGCUAGUUGGUGGGGUAAAGGCCUACCAAGGCGACGAUCGGUAGCUGGUCUGAGAGGAUGAUCAGCCACACUGGGACUGAGACACGGCCCAGACUCCUACGGGAGGCAGCAGUGGGGAAUUUUGGACAAUGGGGGCAACCCUGAUCCAGCCAUGCCGCGUGCGGGAAGAAGGCCUU